AACGAACGCUGGCGGCAUGCCUAACACAUGCAAGUCGAACGAGACCUUCGGGUCUAGUGGCGCACGGGUGCGUAACGCGUGGGAACCUGCCCUUAGGUUCGGAAUAACUCCCCGAAAGGGGUGCUAAUACCGGAUAAUGUCUUCGGACCAAAGAUUUAUCGCCUUUGGAUGGGCCCGCGUUGGAUUAGCUAGUUGGUAGGGUAAAAGCCUACCAAGGCGACGAUCCAUAGCUGGUCUGAGAGGAUGAUCAGCAACACUGGGACUGAGACACGGCCCAGACUCCUACGGGAGGCAGCAGUGGGGAAUAUUGGAAAAUGGGCGAAAGCAUGAUCCAGCAAGGACGCGUGAGUGAUGAAGGCCUUAGGGUUGUAAAGCUCUUUUAACCGGGAUGAUAAUGACAGUACCGGGAGAAUAAGCUCCGGCUAACUCCGUG
RNAcentral lists this ribosomal RNA (433 nucleotides) under uncultured bacterium. RNAcentral's name for it is "partial 16S ribosomal RNA". It matches the Rfam family "Bacterial small subunit ribosomal RNA", at positions 29 to 507 of the family's 1533-position model. The record is from RNAcentral.